This 564-nucleotide ribosomal RNA is filed under the name uncultured marine eukaryote. RNAcentral's name for it is "SSU rRNA". It matches the Rfam family "Eukaryotic small subunit ribosomal RNA", at positions 1 to 569 of the family's 1831-position model. The record is from RNAcentral.
AACCUGGUUGAUCCUGCCAGUAGUCAUAUGCUUGUCUCAAAGAUUAAGCCAUGCAUGUCUAAGUAUAAGCGACUAUACUGUGAAACUGCGAAUGGCUCAUUAAAUCAGUUAUGGUUUAUUUGAUGGUACCUACUACUUGGAUAACCGUAGUAAUUCUAGAGCUAAUACAUGCAGGAAGACCCGACUUCGGAAGGGUUGUAUUUAUUAGAUAAGAAACCAAUCCAGCUUGCUGGUUGCGUGCCGAGUCACAAUAACUGCUCGAAUCGCAUGGCUUCACGCCGGCGAUGGUUCAUUCAAAUCUCUGCCCUAUCAGCUUUCGAUGGUAGGAUCGAGGCCUACCAUGGCGUUUACGGGUAACGGAGAAUUAGGGUUCGAUUCCGGAGAGGGAGCCUGAGAGAUGGCUACCACAUCCAAGGAAGGCAGCAGGCGCGUAAAUUGCCCGAAUCCUGACACAGGGAGGUAGUGACAAGAAAUAACAAUACAGGGCUUCUAAAGUCUUGUAAUUGGAAUGAGUACAAUUUACAUCUCUUCACGAGGGUCAAUUGGAGGGCAAGUCUGGUGCCA